UCUACUUAAUUUUUUUUUCUAAUUGCUGUUUUGUGUUCAUAUAUGUCAUGAAGUGUUGUUUUAGCAUUUCUGAACCUAUAUCUAUCAUUUGUAGGAGAAAUAAUUGUUCUGUUUAAUAAAAUUUAAAAUUUUGUGAGAACACUUUGAAACAGCAAGAGAAUUUGACAUCUUAUACUUUAUUCAAAGAUUUUCAGGAUGGAAAAAGAAAUCACUGAGGGUUUGGAGAAGUUGGGGAAUAGAAAGUUUUUACAAAUAAGUGUUUCUUACAUGUAAUACAAGUUUAAAUGCAGGAUACCUGAAGCACAACAUCUGUACUGAUUUAAAAUGAAGCUGGUACAACAUAUGUUAAAUUUGGUUGCACUUAGUCCAUUUAGAUUUGGCUGGAAGAAGUGAUUAAAUAAAGGGACUUUUUUACACACACACACAUGCAUACAUAGGGCUCUUCAUGAGCAGCCUGUUGCAAAUCAGUAUUUAGUAUUUGCUUGAAUUCAGAAUGACAUUGUUUAGUUUGCUUACAAAAGGCAAUAAGUGUGUCAGAAAUAAGACCCAGUCUGCAUUGAAUAUGAGCAUAAAUUCUAGUAUGGUAAUUCCACAGCUCCACAACACAUACUUGCAUUUACUUCAUUCACAAAUGCACAUAUAGGUGUUUAAAAUAACAAAACAAAUUCGAAAAUUUAAGUUAAGGGAUUACUUAAAUUAAAAGAAUUCUGAAGUAAUUUUCUUCCUGAUGAUUGUGUUGUGUCCAUAUGUGUGAGCUUUAGGAUCUCCAGUGAUACGUACUAGUAGAUGACACUGUGCAAAUAUAUGGGGACUGAACCCUGAACACCUAAACUUUUACACACCUUCAUUGUUCUGCCAGAUUUCUGGAAAUAUGCAAUGCAGUAAGGAUUUGAGAAGUUGUUACUAAGUACUUUUAGGAAGCAGUUUAGCAUUUCUGAAUUUUUGUUUUCAGAGUCUUGGUGCCUUGGUAAAAUUUUUCAUUACAAAAAAUAUUUCAAAUUACCCAACUUCUAUUUCCACCAAAAAAAUCUAUGUGGACUUUUACUUACAGUGUAGUUAAUUUAUUUUCUUGGAUUUAGGUCAUACCAACUGUCAGUUGGCCUUUUCCACUUAAAAGUUCUCAAUAUUCUGACAUCUCUUUAGAGAAACUGAUUAUAGAAUCGUUACAUUCUUUUAAGUUUACUUAAUGUAAAUAGUUUUCAGGCCUCCGGGCUUUUCGUUAUGCUUAUACUGAACAAAGUAAUUUUUAAUGGCUUCUCUGUUUCUUUUGGUAAUGCCAUAUUCUAAAGUACUGUGUUCUUCUGGUUUUUGUAAAUAUCUUGAAAAAUUUGUUCCAUAAGAAAGAAUGUCAUAUUUAAUCUUAAUGCAGGAUCAAUCAAAAAAAAUGUCCCUUUGGAAUCAGAGUGUACAAACAUGUGACUUGAAAUAAUGGUGCUGUAAUAUACUCAACUGAAGGCUUUUAAUAGUAUCUUUCACAAUACCCAUCAGUUAUUUCAAGUUUUGCUUUUAAGUUAAUUAAGCAUGCUUUGGGGAGUCCUUUUGUUCAUUUUUUUUUUUCUGCAGUGGGAGCAGCUGGAGAUACACUGAUGUCAGAAAUCAGAGUACAGGUGUAGAGUAAUUCCCAGUAGGGCUCCAAAGCAAGCAUUUACUACUUUUCUUGUCUCUCAUCAGUGAACUCAGUUUUGUCAGUGCAUAUACUGAAAUUGAAAUCAUGCAGAGGAAUGUAGUGUGGUCCCUGAACAAGAAUCAUGUGUGAAUUUAAGGACUGGUUCUCUAUCACAGUGUAGCUAAGAAGAAAAUAACUGAAUGCUGCCUUUGAAGAACUCAAUCCUGUUACUACUUCUGCUACUAGUCUUGUUGACUCAAAUUUUUAGAUGCAUUCAUAAUUUUUUUUUUGGUGUUGAGUGUGGAGCCUGACUUGCAUAUAUAUCAUGUACUAUUCUUGCAGCUGAAGUGAGUAGAAGAUCUGUUUAAAACAAGUAAUGAUCUACAAAAAUGCAUAUAUAUAUAGCUAUUCUUAAAAACCUGUGUCUUGAUUUAGAAAUAAAAAGUUGCAAAUAUUAUUAUCUUUAUGUAACUUCUUUCCUCUUAGCACAACGAAGAUUACACUUUUGCUUUCCUAUACAGGAUAUUGUAAUAUAAAGAAAUGUUUGUGAACGAUCAAAAUACUGUAGUGUUUAACAGUACUGAAAUCUUGAUAAAGAAACAAAUGUUUGUUUUUGAGACUAAACUUAAAUGAUAGGAAACACUAAAGUUGUAAGGUGUUUCAGUAGACAGUGAAGAUAAAAGAAAAUAUUGAUGAAUUAAUCAUUAGUAAAUUAUCAUGUAUUUCCAUAUUAAUGUAUAGUUCCUGAGACUGGAAGUCACAAGGGCUUUUUCUAAUUGAGGAAUAUGGAAAAUACCAGCAUUAUGUACCUCUUCAUCCCAGAAUUGUCCUCUUGGAUUUGACUGCCACCUGCUGUUGUGCUUAGUAGAGCUAAAGAUACAAGGUGUAGAGGAAUAAAUGAUGUCUUUCUCCCAA
Molecule: long non-coding RNA, 2521 nt
Organism: Corvus hawaiiensis (hawaiian crow)
Lineage: Eukaryota; Metazoa; Chordata; Aves; Passeriformes; Corvidae
Exons: 2
Source: RefSeq, a predicted model, not a curated record